GACGAACGCUGGCGGCGUGCUUAACACAUGCAAGUCGAGCGGUAAGGCCUUUCGGGGUACACGAGCGGCGAACGGGUGAGUAACACGCGGGUGAUCUGCCCUGCACUUCGGGAUAAGCCUGGGAAACUGGGUCUAAUACCGGAUAUGACCUCCUAUCGCAUGGUGGGUGGUGGAAAGAUUUAUCGGUGCAGGAUGGGCCCGCGGCCUAUCAGCUUGUUGGUGGGGUAAUGGCCUACCAAGGCGACGACGGGUAGCCGACCUGAGAGGGUGACCGGCCACACUGGGACUGAGACACGGCCCAGACUCCUACGGGAGGCAGCAGUGGGGAAUAUUGCACAAUGGGCGAAAGCCUGAUGCAGCGACGCCGCGUGAGGGAUGACGGCCUUCGGGUUGUAAACCUCUUUCAGCAGGGACGAAGCGCAAGUGACGGUACCUGCAGAAGAAGCACCGGCUAACUACGU
This 461-nucleotide ribosomal RNA is filed under the name uncultured bacterium. RNAcentral describes it as "partial 16S ribosomal RNA". It matches the Rfam family "Bacterial small subunit ribosomal RNA", at positions 28 to 506 of the family's 1533-position model. The record is from RNAcentral.